CCUACGGGAGGCAGCAGUGGGGAAUUUUGGACAAUCGGGCGAAGAGCCUGAUCCAGCAAUGCCGCGUGCAGGAUGAAGGCCUUCGGGUUGUAAACUGCUUUUGUACGGAACGAAAAGGCUCUGGCUAAUACCUGGGGCACAUGACGGUACCGUAAGAAUAAGCACCGGCUAACUACGUG
RNAcentral lists this ribosomal RNA (179 nucleotides) under uncultured Acidovorax sp. RNAcentral's name for it is "partial 16S ribosomal RNA". It matches the Rfam family "Bacterial small subunit ribosomal RNA", at positions 338 to 507 of the family's 1533-position model. Lineage: Bacteria; Pseudomonadati; Pseudomonadota; Betaproteobacteria; Burkholderiales; Comamonadaceae. The record is from RNAcentral.